GGAAGAGCUGCGGCUCAGUGGUAGAACAUCUGCUUUGUAUGCAGGAAGCUCUGGGUUCAAACUUCAGGUAUCA
Molecule: non-coding RNA, 73 nt
Organism: Podarcis lilfordi (Lilford's wall lizard)
Lineage: Eukaryota; Metazoa; Chordata; Lepidosauria; Squamata; Lacertidae
Source: the annotation of a GenBank genome assembly